This 253-nucleotide ribosomal RNA is filed under the name uncultured bacterium. RNAcentral's name for it is "partial 16S ribosomal RNA". It matches the Rfam family "Bacterial small subunit ribosomal RNA", at positions 524 to 776 of the family's 1533-position model. The record is from RNAcentral.
UACGUAGGGGGCAAGCGUUGUCCGGAUUUAUUGGGCGUAAAGAGCGUGUAGGCGGCUUUACAGGUCCGUUGUGAAAACUCGAGGCUCAACUUCGAGACGCCGGUGGAAACCGUAAAGCUAGAGUCCGGAAGAGGAGAGUGGAAUUCCUGGUGUAGCGGUGAAAUGCGCAGAUAUCAGGAAGAACACCCGUGGCGAAGGCGGCUCUCUGGGACGGUACUGACGCUGAGACGCGAAAGCGUGGGGAGCGAACAGG